This 786-nucleotide ribosomal RNA is filed under the name uncultured bacterium. Its description in RNAcentral is "bacterial SSU rRNA". It matches the Rfam family "Bacterial small subunit ribosomal RNA", at positions 1 to 788 of the family's 1533-position model. The record is from RNAcentral.
UAGAGUUUGAUCAUGGCUCAGGAUGAACGCUGGCGGCGUGCUUAACACAUGCAAGUCGAACGGGAAUGCCACGCUGAUGCGAUUUCGGUCAAAUCAUGUGGCAUUCGAGUGGCGGACGGGUGAGUAGCGCGUGGGUAACCUGCCUUACACAGGGGGAUAACACCUGGAAACAGGUGCUAAUACCGCAUAAGCGCACAGGGCCGCAUGGCCCGGUGUGAAAAACUCCGGUGGUGUAAGAUGGACCCGCGUCUGAUUAGCUUGUUGGCGGGGUAGGGGCCCACCAAGGCGACGAUCAGUAGCCGGCCUGAGAGGGUGGACGGCCACAUUGGGACUGAGACACGGCCCAAACUCCUACGGGAGGCAGCAGUGGGGGAUAUUGGACAAUGGGGGAAACCCUGAUCCAGCGACGCCGCGUGAGUGAAGAAGUAUUUCGGUAUGUAAAGCUCUGUCAGCAGGGAAGAAAGAAAUGACGGUACCUGACCAAGAAGCCCCGGCUAACUACGUGCCAGCAGCCGCGGUAAUACGUAGGGGGCAAGCGUUAUCCGGAAUUACUGGGUGUAAAGGGAGCGUAGACGGUGAUGCAAGUCUGGAGUGAAAGGCGGGGGCCCAACCCCCGGACUGCUCUGGAAACUGUGUAACUUGAGUGCAGGAGAGGUAAGCGGAAUUCCUAGUGUAGCGGUGAAAUGCGUAGAUAUUAGGAGGAACACCAGUGGCGAAGGCGGCUUACUGGACUGUAACUGACGUUGAGGCUCGAAAGCGUGGGGAGCAAACAGGAUUAGAUACCCU